This 72-nucleotide transfer RNA is filed under the name Bos taurus (domestic cattle). It matches the Rfam family "tRNA". From Rfam's summary of the family: Transfer RNA (tRNA) molecules are approximately 80 nucleotides in length. Their secondary structure includes four short double-helical elements and three loops (D, anti-codon, and T loops). Lineage: Eukaryota; Metazoa; Chordata; Mammalia; Artiodactyla; Bovidae. The record is from Rfam by way of RNAcentral. RNAcentral also lists the same sequence under 5 other names.
UCCCUAGUGGCCCAUAUGGUAAGGAAUCUGCCUGCAAUGCAGAAGACCCAGGUUUAAUCCCUGGCUUGGGAA